Molecule: non-coding RNA, 819 nt
Organism: Penaeus vannamei (Pacific white shrimp)
Lineage: Eukaryota; Metazoa; Arthropoda; Malacostraca; Decapoda; Penaeidae
Source: RefSeq, a predicted model, not a curated record
CGGGAGAGGAGGCGGGCUUAAACCGGAGGCGGGACCCCUUUCACUAUAUAUAGAGUCGCUACGCAAUUUUCAACAGCAGCAAAAAGUGUCUUCAGUCCUCGCCAUUCUGCAAAAUGCUACGAACCGCGGUGUACUCUGUUGCUGUUGGCUUGUGUCGCCCUGACUGUGGCAACGGCUUACCCUACAUGGGAGACUCGGUCUGCGGUGCGUGAGAUCAAGGAUGCCUCGGAGUCCCUGGUGCCCAUCCUGGUCCUCCCCGUGGAUCCCCAGCGCUCCCAGGCUCUCAGAGUCGGACCAAGAUCUCAGAAGAGGAACUCCGAGAUCCUCAACACCCUGCUGGGCUCAGAGGCUCUCGGGGCCAUGAGGAACGCCGGCAGGAGGUAGAGUCUGUCUACGAGAGCCUCCCACGAGCGAGAGUAGUGUCAACAUUGUCCAAGAAGCACGAAGAUCAAGCUAUUCCACAAGAAUUGAUGUCUCAGGGUAAUCCUUAAUCGAAGUAUCCAAUUCGAAAUAAAAUUAUUUAGAGCAUUUUUUUUUCUUCAUGAACUAACGGGUGUAAUUCAAAAAUAGGACGAAUACUUUGUCUUUGGAGACCUGCAUUGGUACUCAGACUUGAAUAUUAUUAUUUAUAUUAAAAUAAGCUGUUUAUUAUGCUUUUGAAGGAACUCAGCUAUCAGUCACAGAUAUCGAUUUAUCAAGUAUUUAAUCGUUUCAUUACACAGAAAAUAUUAUCUGUUUGGCCAAAAACACAAUGAUAAAUCUGAAACUGAAUAAUAAUUAUCCAGGAAACGGAAUGCAAUGACAAAAAUAUCAAAAGAA